UUUAAAGUCUAAUCUGCCCAAUGAGGGGUUAAAUGGCCGCGGUAUUUUGACCGUGCAAAGGUAGCAUAAUAAUUAGUUUUUUAAUUGAAAGCUGGAAUGAAUGAUUGGACGAGAAAAUAGCUGUCUCAGUUUAAUUUUAGUAGAAUUUUAUUUUUAAGUAAAAAAGCUUAAAUUAAAUUAAAAGACGAGAAGACCCUAUAGAGUUUAAUAUUUAUUUAAUUAUUAAUUUUUUAGUUUAAGUUUAUUAAUAUUUAUUUAAUUAUUUUAUUGGGGCGAUAGAAAAAUUUAAUUAACUUUUUUUUGUUAUUAAGCAUUAAUUUAUGAAUUUUUGAUCCAUUUUUUAUGAUUAUAAGAUUAAAUUACCUUAGGGAUAACAGCGUAAUUUUUCUAUAGAGUUCUUAUCGAAAGGAAAGGUUGCGACCUCGAUGUUGGAUUAAAAUUAAUAUAGGGUGUAGAAGCUUUAUUAUUAGGUCUGUUCGACCUUUAAAAUUUUACA
RNAcentral lists this ribosomal RNA (496 nucleotides) under Gynaecoserica aniniensis. Its description in RNAcentral is "partial 16S large subunit ribosomal RNA". It matches the Rfam family "Bacterial large subunit ribosomal RNA", at positions 1844 to 2600 of the family's 2925-position model. Lineage: Eukaryota; Metazoa; Arthropoda; Insecta; Coleoptera; Scarabaeidae. The record is from RNAcentral.